This is a non-coding RNA of Corylus avellana, 1217 nucleotides long. The record is from RefSeq and is a predicted model, not a curated record. NCBI's taxonomy places the organism in Eukaryota, Viridiplantae, Streptophyta, Magnoliopsida, Fagales, Betulaceae.
AUGUCUCUUGCAUGCGAAGCCAUUUUCGAAAAACGACUUUUCCUCUCUCUCUGCUCGGCCGCUUUGUGAAAUAUCGGUAAAAUAUCGGAGUCCAGAAAAAAAAUGGUGUCGGAUACGGACCUUGUGACCUAUCGCUGGCAGCUUGAGGAAGAAUUCGGUGUCGAUUUAUCGGUUCGGAAACCGUUCGUUAGGGACGAAAUCGGGAGUUUUAUGAAAACCCUCACGGCAGAGCCCGAUUAAGGAGGAAGAGAAGGGCUUGGUGUGGAAUCCGAGAAUUUUAAGCAAGAGCUGGAGGAAACGACGUCGUAGAAGAGGAGAGUGAAGGGUUGUGAAGAAGAGUUGGGCCUAUAUAUGGGAGAAUGAUUUGCAGGAUCCAAAGAACAAGCGAAAUAUAAGAAGCGAUGAAUCAUUCGAUUGUUUUCAUUUGCCUUUCAGUAUCGUCAUCCUGAGGAUGCAAGGUCUAAGUGUUUGUGGGAAAUAGUAACAUGAUAAAAUUGAUCAACAAUCAGAAGACUUGAAGCAAAGGGUAAAAGGUGAAGAGAGUGGCGGUUCUGUAUAAGGAGAUGUCAGCAUUGGAGAGGAACAAGAGGAAAAAGAGAAUGAAGAAGAAAAAGAAGAGAGUAGUGGAGAGGAAGCAAAAAAAGAGGGCCUGCUAAGGAGGAUAAGAAUCUCAUGGAAAGGGGAUGUGGCUUUAAUAAACUAUGUAGACUUUCUCUGCAACUUCAAACAUUCACUGGAGUUCCCAACUUGGCCAGACCUGAAGUUGUCAAACAAAUUUUGGCCUAUAUUCAGGGGAAGAAUUUGCAAGAUCCAAAGAGUAGGCAAAAUAUAAUAUGUGACAAAUCACUGCAGGCCCUUUUUCGUGUUCAUUCUAUCAACAUGUUUCAAAUGAACAAAGCCUUGUCCAAACAUUUAUGGCCAUUAAAUAAGGAAGAUGGAUCCAUCUAAUAAGAGGAGAAUAUAUAUGUGAGGAUAAAGCAAAAAGAACAUUUUGAGGUUGACUCCUUCAUUGGCUUCACUAUCUCAAAGCUUCUCUGACCUCUCAUUUCUACAAUACAGAAUAGCAAGUUGCUUAUAUGUAUAAAAUGUGAGCCCGAGUUUGAUAUUACCUUUCCACAUCGGGAAUGCUACGGUGCUUCUCAAUAUGUAGGGAACUAAAAGAGCUUUCCUAUACAUUAUUUUAAUAUAAAUAUUUUUCUUUCCUCUCUUCUCUUUCA